CGCAAACCUGGCGGGUCCAACCAACCCCGCUCUGCCGCCGCUGCUGGAACCCAGGAGGCGUGCUUGCAGGCUUCGGGCACUACGCGGGGCUGGAAAUACCACGCACUGCCCCUUCGCCUAGACCCCCGCUCGGGCCACGCGGGUUCUGCCCUCAAAGCUGCUGUUGCCAAAUGAACCCCGGAAUGCGGACGUGCAAACCCUCCACCCCACCCCCAGCCACACACGUCGCGGUCAGAGAACUGGGAAGGGGGCGCUGGGUCCGAGGUUCUGGAAAAGCAAGAACUCACCUGCAAACAGGCAGUCCUCAGCUCUGGACUUCUGGAUCACGACGUCGAUAUCCUUCUGAAUUCGGUCUUGCCUUGAACACAUCCCCAUUAAAUAAAUCCCUGGAAAAGAAGCAGCCGCUAUUUCCACCCCACCCCCCUCGCACGCUUUCAGCUUUCGUAAAUAUUCAGUUAAAAAUGAAACCUCUGGCCGAGGCAGG
RNAcentral lists this long non-coding RNA (484 nucleotides) under Pan troglodytes (chimpanzee). RNAcentral describes it as "long non-coding RNA NONPTRT001217". The record is from RNAcentral. Lineage: Eukaryota; Metazoa; Chordata; Mammalia; Primates; Hominidae.